UCCAGAGAGAGCGCAUAACCGUCUCCUCCUCGAUCCUUCCCACCGCCGCCUCCAUGUUGCUCUGUGUUGGUCGAAUCGAAGGGGACAGUAGAUGAGAGAUGAGAAACAGACGAUGAAGGGAUGACGAGUCGAGCUCAAACAAGGCGCACAGGACGCCGUCGGCCGCCCCUUGACUUCAGCGAUGUUCGACGGCCACGUUUGGAAUGGUGGGAGGCUGCGCAGUUGGUGCAGAACUAUGGGGGAUUUUCGGGUGUCAGCUGUCACGCUUAAAGAUGGACUUUCAGUCUAACUUGUAGCGUCGGAUUUUAUUUGAAGGGUGUUUGGUGACGAGAGAUGCGAUGAACAUUCUGAACACAUUACUUGCGAAAAAAAUUGGUUCUUAUGAGGGAUGAACAAUUCUUUGGCAUAUCUGAAACUUCAAUGGCAAAGUGGCACCGGAGUGUCUUAUUUCUGCACCUUCAGGAGGAAUAUCCUGACACAGAAAUGAAUCUAGCUGGACAUAUUUGCAUGCUCGAACAGCUUCGGCGGAAGGAAAAGGAAAAGCUGGCAAGCGAGCUAAUGGAUAUUGCAAGAGAAAAAACAGAAAAUAAAAGGCAGCAAGAGGAACAUUAGCAAACGCCAAAAGCCAGAGUGACAGCAAUCAAGUCACCAGAUAUGAUAGUGGUCCUUUUAAAGAAACGCUGUUCUGCCUUCCCCUGCGUCUCUGAGCAGAAGCAAGCAGGAGGACAACGAGCAGCGCUCUUCUAUCAUUUAAUUUGUUGCAGGUAGCCAGGUACAAUCGCCAAGUCCUUGGGACUGGAUCUGGGUUUUUCUGGUUCCAGAAUUCCUUGGCGAAGAAUUCCCAAUGAUUGCUAGCCAGGAUAGCUCAGUGGAAUGUCAUAUCCUAUCCAAUAUCCAAAUAUAUGUUAAUAUUUGCUUGGGUUCCACGCUUAUGUUUUCUUAAUGAUUCAUGCCAUGCUAUUGCCGGCUAUUAUCGUUGUUGUAUGUAUCCUUCAGCUUCUUUAGGUGGUAAAUUCAUAUGUGGAAAUGUAAGCACACUUUUGCCGUAGUUGUUCCCACAGUCUUAAUGCAUUUCCUAUCUGA
Molecule: ribosomal RNA, 1083 nt
Filed under: Triticum aestivum (bread wheat)
Lineage: Eukaryota; Viridiplantae; Streptophyta; Magnoliopsida; Poales; Poaceae
Description: partial small subunit ribosomal RNA
Source: RNAcentral